UGCUCGCCCUUUUGCGUGUCUGGCGGGAGGAACCCAGACACGCUAACCGCCCUCUCCCUUCUGUCUGGAGCUUACCAGACAGAGGAGGAGUGUGUGACGCAUCGUAGAGCAUGUGCGGCUCAGAUGUACACUAGCAUUGUUGUCUGGGUGUCACCCUCAGAGUGACGCGUCAAUGAGGGAAACAGACAACGUAUGCCACAACAUACCCUUCGCCACGUACUGAUCACUGGUGAUAAGGUCAACGUUGCCAGCAUACACUUCUCAUACUGAAAAGCUCACCCAAGCAUCACUGGUCAAGCUCAACUGGAACAACAGUGAACAGACCAGCAGUGUGCUAGCCUUUGAAGAAUUCUUUUUUUUUUUUGCUGAGAAUGGCAACCAGCGCACUCCACCAACAACGAGGUCAGUG
Rhipicephalus sanguineus (brown dog tick) is the source of this 409-nucleotide long non-coding RNA. RefSeq lists it as uncharacterized. Lineage: Eukaryota; Metazoa; Arthropoda; Arachnida; Ixodida; Ixodidae. The transcript has 3 exons. The record is from RefSeq and is a predicted model, not a curated record.